GAUGAAGAACGUAGCGAAAUGCGUUACUUGGUGUGAAUUGCAGAAUCCCGUGAACCAUCGAGUCUUUGAACGCAAGUUGCGCCCGAAGCCAUCAGGUUGAGGGCACGUCUGCCUGGGCGUCACAUAUCGUUGCCCAAUGCCUAUUGCAGUGCAAUAGGAAUUUCUAGGGCGAAUGAUGGCUUCCCGUGAGCGUUGUUGCCUCGCGGUUGGUUGAAAAUCGAGUCCUUGGUAGGGUGUGCCAUGGUAGAUGGUGGUCGAGUUAGAACGAUACCGAUCAUGUGCAUGCUCCCCAAAAUAUGGCCUCUAUGACCCACACGCGUCUUUUGACGCUCAUGACGAGACCUCAGGUCAGGCGGGGCUACCCGCUGAAUUUAAGCAUAUCAAUAAGCGGAGGA
RNAcentral lists this unclassified non-coding RNA (395 nucleotides) under soil metagenome. RNAcentral's name for it is "partial contains 5.8S ribosomal RNA, internal transcribed spacer 2, and large subunit ribosomal RNA". The stretch from base 1 to 122 matches the Rfam family "5.8S ribosomal RNA", at positions 35 to 154 of the family's 154-position model. The record is from RNAcentral.